Molecule: long non-coding RNA, 420 nt
Filed under: Mytilus galloprovincialis (Mediterranean mussel)
Lineage: Eukaryota; Metazoa; Mollusca; Bivalvia; Mytilida; Mytilidae
Source: RNAcentral
UAAUUUACAAAAAAACAAAUAUAACACAUAUGUAUACAACGACAACAAUUGAACUUCAUGCUCCUGACUUGAAGCAGGUACAUGAAGAAAAUGCACGUGGUGGAGUUUAACAUGUAUGUGAGCGAUAAAUCAUAACAUAAUAUCGGCCUGUAUCAGUAGUGUAAGAGCACAACACGAGAAAAGAAUGUAAACUAGACAAAGUGAUGCCCCCGCACUCCACUCAUUUAACCGCUUAUACCCCAAAAAGGACAAAGUUCAAUUUUUCUCCCAAAAGAGAAAAAAUAAUAAAAGGAAAAAAAACCUGACCACAUGCACACCUUCAAUACAUGUACAAACAGCCAGUAGAGUGAUAAAUUCCUAGCAUUCAAACUGUAGGAGGAGUUGUCUGGAAACGCCCUACUUAUGCAAGUAAAUUUCCCC